CCCUUAGAUGUUCUGGGCCGCACGCGCGCUACACUGAAGGAAUCAGCGUGGCUCUGUCCCUGGUCCGAAAGGAUUGGGAAACCCGUUGAAUCUCCUUCGUGAUAGGGAUUGGGGCUUGGAACUGUUCCCCAUGAACGAGGAAUUCCCAGUAAGCGCGAGUCAUAAGCUCGCGUUGAUUACGUCCCUGCCCUUUGUACACACCGCCCGUCGCUACUACCGAUUGAAUGGUCCGGUGAAAUCUCGGGACGGCGGCUUGGUCGCUUGCGUCCGACUGCUGAAACUUGAUUAAACCAUAUCAUUUAGAGGAAGGUGAAGUCGUAACA
Molecule: ribosomal RNA, 323 nt
Filed under: uncultured eukaryote
Lineage: Eukaryota
Description: partial 18S ribosomal RNA
Rfam family: Eukaryotic small subunit ribosomal RNA
Source: RNAcentral